CCUACGGGAGGCAGCAGUGAGGAAUAUUGGUCAAUGGGCGCUAGCCUGAACCAGCCAAGUAGCGUGAAGGAUGACUGCCCUAUGGGUUGUAAACUUCUUUUAUAUGGGAAUAAAGUGCAGUAUGUAUACUGCUUUGCAUGUACCUUAUGAAUAAGGAUCGGCUAACUCCGUGCCAGCAGCCGCGGUAAUACGGAGGAUUCGAGCGUUAUCCGGAUUUAUUGGGUUUAAAGGGAGCGUAGGCGGGUUGUUAAGUCAGUUGUGAAAGUUUGCGGCUCAACCGUAAAAUUGCAGUUGAUACUGGCAGCCUUGAGUACAGUAGAGGUAGGCGGAAUUCGUGGUGUAGCGGUGAAAUGCUUAGAUAUCACGAAGAACUCCGAUUGCGAAGGCAGCCUGCUGGACUGUAACUGACGCUGAGGCUCGAAAGUGUGGGUAUCAAACAGGAUUAGAUACCCCAGUAGUC
Molecule: ribosomal RNA, 460 nt
Filed under: uncultured bacterium
Lineage: Bacteria
Description: partial 16S ribosomal RNA
Rfam family: Bacterial small subunit ribosomal RNA
Source: RNAcentral